RNAcentral lists this ribosomal RNA (489 nucleotides) under uncultured bacterium. RNAcentral's name for it is "SSU rRNA". It matches the Rfam family "Bacterial small subunit ribosomal RNA", at positions 26 to 521 of the family's 1533-position model. The record is from RNAcentral.
AGAUUGAACGCUGGCGGCAUGCCUUACACAUGCAAGUCGAACGGUAACAGGUUAAGCUGACGAGUGGCGAACGGGUGAGUAAUAUAUCGGAACGUGCCCAGUAGUGGGGGAUAGCCCGGCGAAAAGCCGGAUUAAUACCGCAUACGACCUACGGGUGAAAGGGGGGGAUCGCAAGACCUCUCGCUAUUGGAGCGGCCGAUAUCAGAUUAGCUAGUUGGUGGGGUAAAAGCUCACCAAGGCGACGAUCUGUAGCUGGUCUGAGAGGACGACCAGCCACACUGGGACUGAGACACGGCCCAGACUCCUACGGGAGGCAGCAGUGGGGAAUUUUGGACAAUGGACGCAAGUCUGAUCCAGCCAUGCCGCGUGCGGGAAGAAGGCCUUCGGGUUGUAACCGCUUUGUCAGGGAAGAAAGCUCCGAACUAAUAUUUGGGUGAUGACGGUACCUGAAGAAUAAGCACCGGCUAACUACGUGCCAGCAGCCGCGGU